This 466-nucleotide ribosomal RNA is filed under the name Vreelandella stevensii. RNAcentral describes it as "partial 16S ribosomal RNA". It matches the Rfam family "Bacterial small subunit ribosomal RNA", at positions 337 to 795 of the family's 1533-position model. The record is from RNAcentral. Lineage: Bacteria; Pseudomonadati; Pseudomonadota; Gammaproteobacteria; Oceanospirillales; Halomonadaceae.
GCCUACGAGCUGCAGCAGUGGGGAAUAUUGGACAAUGGGCGAAAGCCUGAUCCAGCCAUGCCGCGUGUGUGAAGAAGGCCUUCGGGUUGUAAAGCACUUUCAGUGGGGAAGAAAGCCUUGGGGCUAAUACCCUCGAGGAAGGACAUCACCCACAGAAGAAGCACCGGCUAACUCCGUGCCAGCAGCCGCGGUAAUACGGAGGGUGCGAGCGUUAAUCGGAAUUACUGGGCGUAAAGCGCGCGUAGGCGGUCUGAUAAGCCGGUUGUGAAAGCCCCGGGCUCAACCUGGGAACGGCAUCCGGAACUGUCAGGCUAGAGUGCAGGAGAGGAAGGUAGAAUUCCCGGUGUAGCGGUGAAAUGCGUAGAGAUCGGGAGGAAUACCAGUGGCGAAGGCGGCCUUCUGGACUGACACUGACGCUGAGGUGCGAAAGCGUGGGUAGCAAACAGGAUUAGAUACCCUAGUAGUC